RNAcentral lists this ribosomal RNA (395 nucleotides) under Ablepharus pannonicus. Its description in RNAcentral is "partial large subunit ribosomal RNA". It matches the Rfam family "Bacterial large subunit ribosomal RNA", at positions 1965 to 2572 of the family's 2925-position model. Lineage: Eukaryota; Metazoa; Chordata; Lepidosauria; Squamata; Scincidae. The record is from RNAcentral.
UCACUUGUCUUCUAAAUAAAGACCAGUAUGAAUGGCUAAAUGAGGACAGACCUGUCUCCUGCACCCAAUCAGUGAAAUUGAUCUUCUGGUCCAAAAGCCAGAAUAAUAUCAUAAGACGAGAAGACCCUGUGGAGCUUAAAAUUUAAUGCUACUUUAAAACUAGCACGCAUUUUAAGUUGGGGCGACUUCGGAACAAAAUAAAACUUCCGAGCAAGGAGCCACCCACUCCUAAUAAGGCCCACACGCCACUACAACAGACCCAGUCACACUGAUCAACGAACCAAGUUACCCCAGGGAUAACAGCGCAAUCCCCUUCAAGAGUCCAUAUCGACAGGGGGGUUUACGACCUCGAUGUUGGAUCAGGACACCCAGAUGGUGCAGCCGCUAUCAAAGGU